Molecule: long non-coding RNA, 410 nt
Filed under: Pan troglodytes (chimpanzee)
Lineage: Eukaryota; Metazoa; Chordata; Mammalia; Primates; Hominidae
Description: long non-coding RNA NONPTRT005039
Source: RNAcentral
CCUGCCCACAAAUCUUCCCUUUCUCCUGCAAGUUUAACAUAAACAGAUAUCUCUUCUCCCUUAGUGAAGUUCAGGUAUCGGCAGUCAGGUCCUCUAUAAUCUCUCAUGGCUGAGACUCUGUUUAUUAAAGCUAUGUAAAACUUUCACAUUCCAAGUCACCACAUUUUUUAAGGUCUGCCAGCAGUUUUGUACUCUCCAGACACUUUGUCAGAGAAAUAGCCAGAAGAAGGAUUCUGUGAACGCCAAAUUUCGCCAUGCUAAAACAAGCAACCGGGAAUCCCAAGUGAAGUUUAAGCCAAUUGUUCAGGUUGUAGAGAUGUCAGCCAAAACUGGAGAUAUUCUACUCUCUUCACUAACUAUAAGAGAAAAAGGGUUGAAGUUUUAAAAAUCUCUUGAUAACUACAUUUUUC